GAUGAAGAACGUAGCGAAAUGCGAUAAGUAAUGUGAAUUGCAGAAUUCAGUGAAUCAUCGAAUCUUUGAACGCACAUUGCGCCCGCCAGUAUUCUGGCGGGCAUGCCUGUUCGAGCGUCAUUUCAACCCUCAAGCCCCCGGGCUUGGUGUUGGGGAUCGGCGUGCCCUCGCGGCGCGCCGUCCCCUAAAUCUAGUGGCGGUCUCGCUGUAGCUUCCUCUGCGUAGUAGCAACACUCGCACUGGAUCGCAGCGCGGCCACGCCGUUAAACCCCCCACUUCUGAAAGUUUGACCUCGGAUCAGGUAGGAAUACCCGCUGAACUUUAGCAUAUCAAUAAGCGGAGGA
RNAcentral lists this unclassified non-coding RNA (344 nucleotides) under soil metagenome. RNAcentral's name for it is "partial contains 5.8S ribosomal RNA, internal transcribed spacer 2, and large subunit ribosomal RNA". The stretch from base 1 to 120 matches the Rfam family "5.8S ribosomal RNA", at positions 35 to 154 of the family's 154-position model. The record is from RNAcentral.